RNAcentral lists this transfer RNA (63 nucleotides) under Metasalis populi. RNAcentral describes it as "tRNA-Arg". Lineage: Eukaryota; Metazoa; Arthropoda; Insecta; Hemiptera; Tingidae. The record is from RNAcentral.
AGUAAUGAAGUAAAAAAUUACAAUUAGUUUCGACCUAAAAUUAAGGAUAAUUUCCUCUUACUU